RNAcentral lists this ribosomal RNA (153 nucleotides) under uncultured bacterium. Its description in RNAcentral is "partial 16S ribosomal RNA". It matches the Rfam family "Bacterial small subunit ribosomal RNA", at positions 340 to 484 of the family's 1533-position model. The record is from RNAcentral.
UACGGGAGGCAGCAGUAGGGAAUCUUCGGCAAUGGACGAAAGUCUGACCGAGCAACGCCGCGUGAGUGAAGAAGGUUUUCGGAUCGUAAAACUCUGUUGUUAGAGAAGAACAAGGAUGAGAAUAAAAUGUUCAUCCCUUGACGGUAUCUAACC